RNAcentral lists this ribosomal RNA (468 nucleotides) under uncultured bacterium. Its description in RNAcentral is "partial 16S ribosomal RNA". It matches the Rfam family "Bacterial small subunit ribosomal RNA", at positions 28 to 507 of the family's 1533-position model. The record is from RNAcentral.
GACGAACGCUGGCGGCGUGCUUAACACAUGCAAGUCGAACGGAAAGGCCCUGCUUUUGUGGGGUGCUCGAGUGGCGAACGGGUGAGUAACACGUGAGUAACCUGCCCUUGACUUUGGGAUAACUUCAGGAAACUGGGGCUAAUACCGGAUAGGAGCUCCUGCUGCAUGGUGGGGGUUGGAAAGUUUCGGCGGUUGGGGAUGGACUCGCGGCUUAUCAGCUUGUUGGUGGGGUAGUGGCUUACCAAGGCUUUGACGGGUAGCCGGCGUGAGAGGGUGACCGGCCACAUUGGGACUGAGAGACGGCCCAGACGCCUACGUGAGGCAGCAGUGGGGAAUAUUGCACAGUGGGCGGAAGCCUGAGGCAGCAACGCCGCGUGCGGGAUGACGGCCUUCGGGUUGUAAACCACUUUCGCCUGUAACGAAGCGGGAGUGACGGUAAUUAGUAAAGAAGCACCGGCUAACUACGUG